Molecule: ribosomal RNA, 459 nt
Filed under: uncultured bacterium
Lineage: Bacteria
Description: partial 16S ribosomal RNA
Rfam family: Bacterial small subunit ribosomal RNA
Source: RNAcentral
CCUACGGGCGGCAGCAGUGAGGAAUAUUGGUCAAUGGUCGGGAGACUGAACCAGCCAAGCCGCGUGAGGGAUGAAGGUACAGAGUAUCGUAAACCUCUUUUGUCAGGGAACAAAGGCGGGGACGUGUCCCCGGAUGAGUGUACCUGAAGAAAAAGCAUCGGCUAACUCCGUGCCAGCAGCCGCGGUAAUACGGAGGAUGCGAGCGUUAUCCGGAUUUAUUGGGUGUAAGGGGUGCGCAGGCGGUCUGUUAAGUCAGCGGUAAAAGCCCGGGGCUCACCCCCGGCCCGCCGUUGAAACUGGCAGUCUCGAGUUGGAGAGAAGUAUGCGGAAUGCGCGGUGUAGCGGUGAAAUGCAUAGAUAUUGCGCAGAACUCCGAUUGCGAAGGCAGCAUGCCGGCUCCACACUGACGCUGAGGCACGAAAGCGUGGGUAUCGAACAGGAUUAGAUACCCCAGUAGUC